Molecule: long non-coding RNA, 375 nt
Organism: Symphalangus syndactylus (siamang)
Lineage: Eukaryota; Metazoa; Chordata; Mammalia; Primates; Hylobatidae
Source: RefSeq, a predicted model, not a curated record
CUGGGGGUUGCUGAGCCAGCAGGGCCUCCGGAUGGGGUAGACUGAAUAGCAGUACUUUCCCGUCUGAGCAGGCCAGAGCCAAGAGACCCAGCCGGGGCAGGAGAGGAGCCUAAAGGGUAAAAGAAUCAGAAAAAAGGGUGGAUGUGCAAUCUUUACCUGUUUAUUCGGUAGAGGGUGCCAUCUUCAGGUAGCCCUUCACGUUGUACAGAAAACAAUGGAGACUUCUCCUCCUGGGGCAGUAGUGUCACCCUUCCUAAGCUUCAGAGAUGUUGCUUCAACUUACAGCUCAGAUAACAAGUGCCACUUCCAGGCUAAAGGAAUCCAUUCAGCAAACUCCCAGUAUGAAUGUUUCUGCUCUCGGCUGGAGAAACAGAA